This 460-nucleotide ribosomal RNA is filed under the name uncultured bacterium. RNAcentral describes it as "partial 16S ribosomal RNA". It matches the Rfam family "Bacterial small subunit ribosomal RNA", at positions 338 to 795 of the family's 1533-position model. The record is from RNAcentral.
CCUACGGGCGGCAGCAGUGAGGAAUAUUGGUCAAUGGACGCAAGUCUGAACCAGCCAUGCCGCGUGCAGGAAGACGGCUCUAUGAGUUGUAAACUGCUUUUGUACGAGGGUAAAUCCCGAUACGUGUAUCGGGUUGAAAGUAUCGUACGAAUAAGGAUCGGCGAACUCCGGUCCAGCAGCCGCGGUAAUACGGAGGAUUCAAGCGUUAUCCGGAUUUAUUGGGGUUAAAGGGUGCGUAGGCGGUUCGAUAAGUUAGAGGUGAAAGCCCGGGGCUCAACACCGGCACUGCCUCUGAUACUGUCGGGCUAGAGUGGAGUUGCGGUAGGCGGAAUGUAUGGUGUAGCGGUGAAAUGCAUAGAGAUCAUACAGAACACCGAUUGCGAAGGCAGCUUACCAAACUACGACUGACGUUGAGGCACGAAAGCGUGGGGAGCAAACAGGAUUAGAUACCCUGGUAGUC